GUAAGGGAUAUUGGGCAAUGGGGGGAACCCUGACCCAGCCAUGCCGCGUGAGGGAAUGAGGCCCUACGGGUCGUGAACCUCUUUUAUCCGGGGACAAUACCCCGCACGAGAUGCGGGGUUGAGGGUACCGGAAGAAUAAGCAUCGGCUAACUCCGUGCCAGCAGCCGCGGUAAUACGGAGGAUGCGAGCGUUAUCCGGAUUCAUUGGGUUUAAAGGGUGCGCAGGCGGCCAAGCAAGUCAGCGGUGAAAGCCCGGGGCCCAACCCCGGAAGUGCCGUUGAUACUGUGUGGCUGGAAUGCGGUCGAGGCGGGCGGAACGUGGCGUGUAGCGGUGAAAUGCGUAGAUAUGCCACAGAACGCCGAUAGCGAAGGCAGCUCGCCAGGCCUGCAUUGACGCUCGGGCACGAAAGCGUGGGGAUCGAACAGGAUUAGAAACCCUAGUAGUCC
Molecule: ribosomal RNA, 446 nt
Filed under: uncultured bacterium
Lineage: Bacteria
Description: bacterial SSU rRNA
Rfam family: Bacterial small subunit ribosomal RNA
Source: RNAcentral